RNAcentral lists this ribosomal RNA (253 nucleotides) under uncultured bacterium. Its description in RNAcentral is "partial 16S ribosomal RNA". It matches the Rfam family "Bacterial small subunit ribosomal RNA", at positions 524 to 776 of the family's 1533-position model. The record is from RNAcentral.
UACGGGGGGGGCGAGCGUUGUUCGGAAUUACUGGGCGUAAAGGGUGCGUAGGCGGUGCUCUAAGUCGGAUGUGAAAACUCUGGGCUCAACCCAGAGCCUGCAUCCGAAACUGGAGUGCUAGAGUUCUGGAGGGGGUAGCGGAAUUCCUGGUGUAGCGGUGAAAUGCGCAGAUAUCAGGAAGAACACCAAUGGCGAAGGCAGCUCUCUGGGACGGUACUGACGCUGAGACGCGAAAGCGUGGGGAGCGAACAGG